AGAGUUUGAUCAUGGCUCAGAACGUACGCUGGCGGCACGCCUAACACAUGCAAGUCGAACGCAGUAGCAAUACUGAGUGGCAAACGGGUGAGUAUAAUGUGGGAAUCUGCCUUUUGGUUUGGAAUAACACGGGGAAACUUGUGCUAAUACCGAAUAAGCCUUUACGGGGAAAGUUUUAAUGCCAAAAGAUGAGCCUGCACUUGAUUAGCUAGUUGGUAAGGUAAAAGCUUACCAAGGCUUUGAUCAAUAGCUGUUCUUAGAGGAAGACCAGCCACAUUGGGACUGAGACACGGCCCAGACUCCUACGGGAGGCAGCAGUGGGGAAUCUUGCACAAUGGGGGAAACCCUGAUGCAGCGAUGCCGCGUGAGUGAAGAAGGCCUUUGGGUUGUAAAACUCUUUCGUCGGGGAAGAAAAUGACUGUACCCGAAUAAGAAGGUCCGGCUAACUUCGUGCCAGCAGCCGCGGUAAUACGAAGGGACCUAGCGUAGUUCGGAAUUACUGGGCUUAAAGAGCUCGUAGGUGGUUAAAAAAGUUGAUGGUGAAAUCCCAAGGCUUAACCUUGGAACUGCCAUCAAAACUUUUUAGCUAGAGUGUGAUAGAGGUAAGUGGAAUUUCUAGUGUAGAGGUGAAAUUCGUAGAUAUUAGAAAGAACACCAAAUGCGAAGGCAACUUACUGGGUCACUACUGACACUGAGGAGCGAAAGCAUGGGUAGCGAAGAGGAUUAGAUACCCUCGUAGUCCAUGCCGUAAACGAUGAGUGCUAG
This 765-nucleotide ribosomal RNA is filed under the name marine metagenome. RNAcentral's name for it is "bacterial SSU rRNA". It matches the Rfam family "Bacterial small subunit ribosomal RNA", at positions 8 to 819 of the family's 1533-position model. The record is from RNAcentral.